Long non-coding RNA from Salmo salar (Atlantic salmon), 1589 nucleotides. RefSeq lists it as uncharacterized. Lineage: Eukaryota; Metazoa; Chordata; Actinopteri; Salmoniformes; Salmonidae. The record is from RefSeq and is a predicted model, not a curated record.
CAGGCGCUCCAUGCGCUCCACAAACCUUUGCAUGUUGCCAUCCAGUGCACGGACCAACCGCGCAUUUGGAACAGAACGCUCACUCCGCACAGAGUCUUGUGCAGUUCGCGACAGCUGGCCUUUGAACUGACAUCAGAUAGUCCACCAAUCAAAGUUGCUAAUGGUGAAUUCACCAUUGAAUUGGAACCAGUAGUCCGAUACGAUUGUACAGGUAGCCUACUUGAAAAUUGCGCAUUGUUCUUCAAGAUCUGCAAAGUUGCAGCUACAUCAGUGGCCCUCAGCUCCCCUCAGCUCCAGACAUGGGUGUGAAGGUGCUCCAGUGCUUCCCCUGGUACAGACGCUGUAAAGAGCGAUGCAAGGCUAAACAGUGCCCCCCACCUGCAGUCCCCAGUGAGGAGAUGAAGCCCCGCCUGUCGUCCACGGUGUCGUGUGGUAGCGAGGGCGAGAGCAGCAGCAGUCUGAGUGGCUCCCAGAUCUACUUCUCCACCAAGGCUCGCCUCUCCUUCAGACACCAGAUGGACAGCAACUUCAACGCAGUGGACGCCACCUGCUGAAUAGAUCAGCCCCGACGUGCCGAGUAGUGUUCAUUAGGCAUCAAACGGAAGAAAAAGGACUGAAAUAGGGAGGGAAUACCUGGGCUUGUCCGAUAAGAAACGCUCAUUUUUGGUUUCCGUUGUGAAACAUUUUUGCUACGGUGUACCCUAAUGAAUAUGACCCUGGCUUACAGUGCUGGGAAUGACACUUUAGUAUCUACUGAUCCCUCCUGUCAUCAUCGCCAUCGCCCCAAAAUGAACUCUCGCCCCUCCGCUAUGACGUCCAUUAUUAUAGCUCAACAGAACAUAGAAUGUAAAGGACUGAGACUUAAUCUACUCAGUGGUACCUAUGUACUCAACGUUCGUUCUCAACUCCCCCUUCAGAAGUGACUGUGAAAAGGAUGGACAUAUCACAGUAGAUUGAGUUCUUCACUAGAGAAAUGCUGAAUGCACUGCUGGUGUGGCUAGUAGAGAUGGAAAAAUGUUUACUACAUCAUUACCAACCAAGUGCAUCAUUUUGCAAAUUCACAACUGCAAAUUCAAGUCUUUAAAAUACAAGCUGUUGAAUAUAAGAAAAUGAUGCUCUCUCAACUUUAAAUAUGGCCUUUUUGGUUUUUAUCCUAACACUAUCCUAACUUGCUGAAAAAACAUGGUAACUAGAUUUUGAUUGGUUUGGCUGAUGAAGAUACUAAUGAGUUUGUGCCUUUUCACCUCUUUUGAACAUUUCCUCAAUUAAAUUCAGUUUGGUGCUGGCUGUCUUCUUCUAGUGCCCUUUUCAACUGGCUGCUUGGAAUGCAUCUACACUUUAUUCAUAUCUAGAAAUGUUAACCUGCAGCUCCUCCAGCUUACGUGCAGCUCUUACCUUUACUUCUGAUGGCAUCUUAUGGGGAACAUCAGUGAAUGGAGGAGAAAGUCAACAGAUUGUUCUGGAAGACAUUUCAACAGUGUUUUGGUGCUUUCGUUGGGUUCUACAACCCACCCUCUAACAGUGAAAUAUUUUCCCUGCUUCACCUACUAGUUUAAGGAUAAUAAAUACUCAUGUUUUUCCACUUCUAA